GCAAAACGCAAAAGUCUAUGUUAUAAUAGUUGUUUGAAGACCGGAUUGCAUGAAUUUAGUCAUCACUUAUUUAUACAUAACGGGUCGCCCUUCCGGCAAAUUAUUUGUUUAGAGCCUGAAACGAGGGGCCGUAGACUCGGAAGUAGAUAAAUAGGUCAAGCGUCGUAGCUCAGACGAGAGUCAUAAGCUCACACCAAGGCUCUCGUGUGGUCAGUAUUCAUUUGAGGCUGUGUGUUACACGAGUCCAGACCGCGCGGCAAAGGCCGCGUUUGGUGCGAGGAAGAUUGGGUGUGAUUUCUUUCUUGUCUUUCUACAAAAAGGCAAAAGGUGGAUACGCGGACGAUGAACUGAGUUCAGAGGUAAAAACGACAAUGGCCGCCAAUGAUAUAUUGAUGAUCAGCCUUCCAUUUCGCCUAUGCCUCUCUGUAGGUCUAAGGGUAGGCCAAGAAGGAGCACGUCUCCCUCAGCCAAGCGAUCCACGUGAUCUCACGUAGAAUCUGAACUAAAACAGAGAGAAGUUAUAUUGACCAUGGCAAAAAAGAUGAAGAUAAGUAAAUAUAUAAGGAUGGACAGAGAAAUCAUUGAAUUUUCUCCUUUGUAUUCCACUGUUAGUGAUAAAAAACUUAUACUAUUCUUUUUUUUUUAAAUAUUUGUUUUAUUUGUUCAAGCUAUGUGUUAUUGAAUAUUACAUUUUUUGAAAGUAUGGUUACAAACUGACCCCCUAGUUCUGUAGCACUGCCAAGAAAAUAGGGGGGACCCCCUUCGUAUUUACAAAGACGAUGCUUAAAGAACGCUGCUUGGUGGAAAAAUGGUAUGAGAUUAUAUGGCUUUCAAUGUUAAUUGAGAUUUGCACCCCAGCCUCUGCUCAUGAAAAUAGGUUUUCUAGUAAUAACAUGUUUUCUAGCGAGGGAAGGUUUUUUCGACUUCUAUUAUGAUCCGAGUAUAAACCAAGAGCAUGGAUGAAGGUUGGUUAAAAAGUUUCUAUGUAUUAAAUCCCCAGAGCUAACACAGUAUUAUACUUCUGGGUUUUUUAAUUCGCACUACAACAUUAUAUAAGACACUGCAUAUUGUGCAUACAAAAGGUGCAAUGGGCUUUUGAAAUGAGAGGGGAUCUAUGAUUAUUUCACAUCACUUUUAUAUAUGGUGCUUGAUUGUUAAAAUUGUAUGAUUGGACAAAUUGUUUCCACUUUUCUGAAAAUUUUCUACCAGAAAGAAUUCAAAUCAUUAGAAUUCUGUUGGAGUAAAAUUUUUGAGGAGAAUGAUAAGCUCAUGAAAAUGAUUUGUUUUUUAGACAUAUUGCAUUAUACAUAUGCUGUAAAAACAUUUACAACAUAACAUGUGUCCACUGCAUUUCUUUGGGAUUGAACAUUUUACCAACAGGCUUGUGUAUUUUGGGGGUGGCAAAUUUCCAUCAUUUUUGGGUGUAUGACAUUUUGAGCUCUGUUUGACCAUUCCAUAAUGUUUAUAACUGAAUACUGCCCCCCCUUCCAACCCCCCCUGGGCAAUUAUCACUCUAACCUUCAAGGCAUAUAAAUCCUAAGCCCAUUCAGCCUUUCGGCUAUUAAGUCAAAGCCCAUUCAUGCUCUAGGGACAUUGUCAAAUAUUUAAAUUUAAGAGUUAUACAAAAGAUGGGCUUUGCGCCCAAAGGCUUUUCUACAAGUAUUUCAAGUUUUGAUAAGUCUAAAACCCUACCAAAAAGCAUAAAGAUACUGUUUUAUGCUCUUAUUCUCGUCUCUCUAUGGCCGCCAUGGUUUUUUUACUUAGGUCCAGCGAGUGUUAUGACGUCAUCUUACAAUUUGAUCUGUGAUUGGUUGUUUCAAUGUUUUGAUGCCUCGAAUGUCAAAACAAAAAAGUGUUUCCAGAAUAAAAGGAAAUAUUCCGAGUUGGUCCGGGAAACAGUUGUUGAAAAAUAAUAUCUUGCCUAUAUAAAAUUAAGGACCAAAAAGCCCAAAGCGUUUCAUUAGAGAAUCUGAGAAUUUUCUUUUUCUGGAAAUGGUCCAAAGGAGAUUGUUGUACGCGGCGUUUUUUUUUUUUUUUUUCAUUUUUUUUUUUUUUUUCAUCUAGGAGAUACCUCCCCUUAAUGCUUAACAAAUCUUUAAAAACAAUUCUUUAACUUUGUCGUCUUGGAUAUGGGUGCUUAAGUGACCGCUUCCUUAGUUUGAGCUCAGGCGACAUCAAAACAAACAACGAGCUCAUUUUGUCGCUAAGGGUUGAGAGAUAUAUAGAGAUUUAUAGAACAGAGCGGUCCUUAGUGAGACAACUGCAAAGAGGUUCUUAAAGUUUGCAUCGGUUUAGCGUUUAAAGGAAAAGAUGAUAUAUUUAACCAUUUAAAAAUUUUUAAAUUUUGAUAAAUCUGGAUACAAAAUAAACUCUGGUUCAUUUUGUAAAACCCUUUGGUUUUACAGCCCCCCCCCCCCCUCCUCCUGAUAAUUAUUGCACAGUACCUUACUACUUCAUCCCUGCUUUUUUUCAAGAGAGGAACGGUAUAGUGAAUCUUUCUCACUCGAGUUUGCUCAUUUGGCUGUUUAAUUUUUAUGUUGUUUUGAUACUGUUGUUGGUUGUUGAUUUCAGGGUCGUACCAGGCCUCGAAAUACAGGGGGAGGGGAACCACAGCCUCCUAAUAGGCGUUUCAGUUUAGUCUGAUUGUUUGCUGUUGUGUUAGCUAGAGAAUUCUUGGAUACGUUUAGAUGGGCGUUCGUUGGUCUGGUUUCUCUGUUGGUUUGUGUUUUGGUCGUUGGCUUAGCUUCUUGGUCUGCUGUGCUUUUUAAAUUUUUUUUGGUCUGUUGGUUUUUUUGGUUUGGUUUGUUGGAUGUUUUUUGUUGUUGUGUUGUUUGGUUGUUUGGUAGUUUGUUGAUUGUUUUUUGUGUUGUUUUUGAUUGCUUUAUCUAUUGGUUUUAAUAUUUUAUUUGCACAAUAAUUGACAAAUUUAUUAAGAGUCUAAUGGAAAAUUUUCACGGAUUUACUAAAAAAUGCAUUUGCAUUUUGUGCUAGCUAGAGAAUUCUUGGAUACGUUUAGAUGGGCGUUCGUUGGUCUGGUUUCUCUGUUGGUUUAUCUUUUUUUCGUUGGCUUAGCUUCUUGGUCUGCUGUGCUUUUUAAAUUUUGUAUUUUUUUUUGGUCUGUUGGUUUUUUUGGGCUAUUGGUUUGGUUUGUUGAAUGUUUUUUGUUGUUGUGUUGUUUGGUAGUUUGUUGAUUGUUUUUUGUGUUGUUUUUGAUUGCUUUAUCUAUUGGUUUUCAUAUUUUAUUUGCACAAUAAUUGACAAAUUUAAUAAGAGUCUAAUGGAAAAUUUUCACUGAUUUACUAAAAAAAUGCAUUUGCAUUUUUCCCACGAUCUUUAUAAUCCAGAGGUAAUAGAUGGAAUAAUCUUCCUUCUUUUGGGUUAUUUUUCCUUUAUGACUGGUACAAAAUAAGCGUUAUAACAUUAGGAAGUAAUAAUGAUAAGAAAUGCUUGCUCUGAUAUUUGUUGUUAAAUCUAAUUUUUGUGUGAAAUGGGUUAUUUCCCAAAUCUGAUGCAAAGCAUUACUCAUUUUAGGGGAAUGUUUGUGGGAAAAUGUCGAGCUUGCAGUCAUAGAAUAAUUGAAGUAUUAGAAUGAUUGAAGUGUUAUUCAAGUAUUUAAAACUAAAGAUUUUAAAGAGAGCUGAAAAUAACAAAACCCUAUUUCCCAUCAAUUAUAAAUAAUUACAUAAAUAAGGUAAUUUGAUUUGAUUUAAAAAAACACAAAUUCCGUGUUGUGACGCUUCCAUGACAACAUACAAUCGCCCUAAAAUAAUACACAGUAAUAAAAUGACCCCCUCCCAAAAAACAAUAACAAGGAUAAUUUUUUUGUAAUUAUUUGAUUUUUGCUUGCAUUCAUGUACUUUUUCUGUUGAUAGAUAUACCCUUUCCUGGCAGGCAAGGAACUUCUGUAUUUUUGGCAGUGGAAAAAUAAAGCGGUCGAAUAACCCAAAAUGCUGUUACAAUUCCCCUUUUCAAACAAACAAUAACUAUCAAUAGAAAUGUACUACAUUUUACUGGGUAAAUAAUAGACAGCAAAUUCGAAAAGACAGCGAACUCGAUUUUAGGUGCAUUCAAAGUCCUUGUUUUGGUAGUGCCAGGUUUUCAAGAAAACAAAUACUCGUGAAAUACUAAUACUGCUCAUUGUGCGAAAUACUCGUAAUUCUUAUUGUUGCGAAUACUCCACUCGCUUAUUGAAACCCAUUACAGUUUACCUGCAGUGCUAAGGGUACAACACUCGAUGUAUCGAAGAACGCCUGCGAGUUAUAUCUCACCACCCUUGCCUCAAUUGAUCUAAACAAGACCUGGGGGUUAGCGCCGUUGAUAACAGAUCAUUGGUGUAUUCCCCAAAGCCUCGUAGAUUGCAUCAUCAUCAAAAAUUAAUUCAGAAGAACUGCAGUAAAAUGACAUUUUGACAGCCGUUAUUAGCAUAGGUUAUGUAAAAACUGGAAUGGCGUGGAAUUGAUUGGAUCGUACUAUUCUACCAUAAUUGUUUGUACAUUGAUUAUGAGAGUAAUAAAAACACAGUUAUACACUCAGA
Nematostella vectensis (starlet sea anemone) is the source of this 4534-nucleotide long non-coding RNA. RefSeq lists it as uncharacterized. Lineage: Eukaryota; Metazoa; Cnidaria; Anthozoa; Actiniaria; Edwardsiidae. The record is from RefSeq and is a predicted model, not a curated record. The transcript has 5 exons.